UUUAAGCGUGUAGGGGGUGUGACCUGGUAAAUCCGGUUGCAUACUAACCCUGAGGCGUGAUGACGAUGCACUACGGUGCAGAAGUAGUUGAUGCCCUGCUUCCAGGAAAAUCCUCUAAGCUCCAGGUAACAUUAAAUCGUACCCCAAACCGACACAGGUGGUCAGGUAGAGAAUACCAAGGCGCUUGAGAGAACUCGGGUGAAGGAACUAGGCAAAAUGGUGCCGUAACUUCGGGAGAAGGCACGCUGGCAUGUAGGUGAAGUCCCUUGCGGAUGGAGCUGAAGCCAGUCGAAGAUACCAGCUGGCUGCAACUGUUUAAUAAAAACACAGCACUGUGCAAACACGAAAGUGGACGUAUACGGUGUGACGCCUGCCCGGUGCUGGAAGGUUAAUUGAUGGGGUCAGCCGCAAGGCGAAGCUCUUGAUCGAAGCCCCAGUAAACGGCGGCCGUAACUAUAACGGUCCUAAGGUAGCGAAAUUCCUUGUCGGGUAAGUUCCGACCUGCACGAAUGGCGUAAUGAUGGCCAGGCUGUCUCCACCCGAGACUCAGUGAAAUUGAACUCGCUGUGAAGAUGCAGUGUACCCGCGGCAAGACGGAAAGACCCCGUGAACCUUUACUAUAGCUUGACACUGAACAUUGAGCCUUGAUGUGUAGGAUAGGUGGGAGGCUUUGAAGCGUGGACGCCAGUCUGCGUGGAGCCAUCCUUGAAAUACCACCCUUUAAUGUUUGAUGUUCUAACUCGGCCCCGUGAUC
RNAcentral lists this ribosomal RNA (754 nucleotides) under Serratia marcescens. RNAcentral describes it as "partial 23S ribosomal RNA". It matches the Rfam family "Bacterial large subunit ribosomal RNA", at positions 1511 to 2240 of the family's 2925-position model. Lineage: Bacteria; Pseudomonadati; Pseudomonadota; Gammaproteobacteria; Enterobacterales; Yersiniaceae. The record is from RNAcentral.